Molecule: long non-coding RNA, 1522 nt
Organism: Artibeus jamaicensis (Jamaican fruit-eating bat)
Lineage: Eukaryota; Metazoa; Chordata; Mammalia; Chiroptera; Phyllostomidae
Exons: 3
Source: RefSeq, a predicted model, not a curated record
CUGCAGGGUGGAGUUGGGGACUGGGUUCGCUGUCAGUCCUGCGUCCUAAAUCAAGGUGCGGAGAGUAAUUGGCCUCAAGGAAAGAGCCGGAAAGUCUAGCUGCUGGAGAAGGCAGGGACCUGGGAGGUGGCCAAACAGGCUUGAGGGCUUGCCACGAGCAACUGCCUGCCAGCCACAAUGCGAGAACUCGUGAGGAGUGGUCCAGUCCCCCGGUCACCUGCAUCCCUGCAACUCCUGUCCCUCUUUGCGCCUCCCGCCUUCACGCUCUCCAGUGGUCUGGGGAGGCCCGCGCGGGGCUGAGCGUGCGUGUGUUGCUGCGCGCUCCCGCAUGUGUGCGCGCCUGUGUGCCUGUGUGUGUGCGUGAGUGUGCAGCCCGCGCGCAGAGCCUGGCCACCGGGACCUAGCUGCCCGCCACCCGCCGCCUGACUGGUGUCCCUCGUCCUUGCAGCCACCUCCUCGCAAGCCUCCUCGCCUAGCGCGGGUAAUCCGGCGCCUGCCGCCUGCCCAGCCCCGCUCGGCCGCAGCAGCCUAAGCUCAAAGUUUCCUCAGCGCAGACACCUUGGCAAAGGGCUACCCAGGGAUACGGGCUUCUGAAGCUGUGCCUUGGACUGGCUCUUCUUACAGCACCGCUCCGCCUUGUCCCCACCUGAUCCGAGUAGAGAGUAGAUGUUCCAAAUUAAAGGGAGAAAGGGGUGUGUGUGCGUGCGUGCGUGUGUGUGUGUGUGUGUGUGUGUGUGUGUGUGUGGUGGGGGGUAUUAUUAAAAGAGACCGGGGCGGUCACAACUGAGAACAUCCACUUCUCUUCUGACUGAUGCCCUGGAAUUGACUGAUGACAGGCCUGUGGGGUUAAAGAAAAUAAAAUAGAAAGCCAAGUUGACCGAGGAGGGGCUGGCUGCCAGGAGGUUGUUCUGUCUCCGUUACUACGGGAGUGAAGAUUUGUAGGCGCUGCCAGUGCAAGAGCUUCGAACCGCCAUCCCCUCCUGAUCCCCUGGGAAGGUAAAGCCGGCAGAGCUCAGGGAGAGUGAGUCAAGAAAAAGCCUCUGGACUUGUGUGCGUCGCAGCCUUGGCUUGGGAUUUUAAGGAUAGGAAAGAAAAUUAACAGCAUCUCAAGGUAAGAAGCAGCAAGACAGCUGCCUGAAUUGUCAGGAAGAGGGAAUAACUUAAAUACAUGUUGGGGAGGGGAUGGAGGGAGCGGUUAGGCCAAGUUAGGAUAUCUCUGGGCGUCACCAAGCCAAGGUCUGGGGGCGGGCAAAUACAGGAGUAGCCUGUGCGGCCAGUGUCCAUUUGGGGGGCAGCAGGAACGAGGAAGUGUCCUGAUCGUACACUUUUGGAAGCUACUGGAAAGAGGGAAUCCUUUGGAGAUGUUUUCAAGAUGUAGAAUGCUUAUAUAUGAAGUAUCCCAAAUGAAGUUGGAGUAUCUGCAUUGAAAUUACUUCAUGUUGUGGAAUUGAAGAGUGCACUGGAAAGCUGGGUCAUGAGCUGCUGGGGCCUCUAAAGUGUCCAGUGGAUUUUUAAUCACAAG